CCUACGGGAGGCAGCAGUGAGGAAUAUUGGUCAAUGGACGAGAGCCUGAACCAGCCAAGUCGCGUGAAGGAUGACUGCCCUAUGGGUUGUAAACUUCUUUUAUAUGGGAAUAAAAUGUUCCACGUGUGGGAUUUUGUAUGUACCAUAUGAAUAAGGAUCGGCUAACUCCGUGCCAGCAGCCGCGGUAAUACGGAGGAUCCGAGCGUUAUCCGGAUUUAUUGGGUUUAAAGGGAGCGUAGGUGGAUUGUUAAGUCAGUUGUGAAAGUUUGGGGCUCAACCGUAAAAUUGCAGUUGAAACUGGCAGUCUUGAGUACAGUAGAGGUGGGCGGAAUGCGUGGUGUAGCGGUGAAAUGCUUAGAUAUCACGAAGAACUCCGAUUGCGAAGGCAGCUCACUGGACUGCAACUGACACUGAGGCUCGAAAGUGUGGGUAUCAAACAGGAUUAGAUACCCCUGUAGUC
RNAcentral lists this ribosomal RNA (460 nucleotides) under uncultured bacterium. Its description in RNAcentral is "partial 16S ribosomal RNA". It matches the Rfam family "Bacterial small subunit ribosomal RNA", at positions 338 to 795 of the family's 1533-position model. The record is from RNAcentral.